RNAcentral lists this ribosomal RNA (484 nucleotides) under uncultured bacterium. Its description in RNAcentral is "partial 16S ribosomal RNA". It matches the Rfam family "Bacterial small subunit ribosomal RNA", at positions 28 to 523 of the family's 1533-position model. The record is from RNAcentral.
GACGAACGCUGGCGGCGUGCUUAACACAUGCAAGUCGAACGAUGAAGCUGGAGCUUGCUCUAGCGGAUUAGUGGCGAACGGGUGAGUAACACGUGAGCAAUCUGCCCUUGACUCUGGGAUAACUGCGGGAAACUGUAGCUAAUACCGGAUACUUUCACCGGGGGGCAUCCUCUGGUGAUGAAAGAAUUUCGGUCAAGGAUGAGCUCGCGGCCUAUCAGCUUGUUGGUGAGGUAACGGCUCACCAAGGCGACGACGGGUAACCGGCCUGAGAGGGUGACCGGUCACACUGGGACUGAGACACGGCCCAGACUCCUACGGGAGGCAGCAGUGGGGAAUAUUGCACAAUGGGCGCAAGCCUGAUGCAGCGACGCCGCGUGAGGGAUGAAGGCCUUCGGGUUGUAAACCUCUUUCAGCAUCGACGAAGCGAAAGUGACGGUAGGUGCAGAAGAAGGACCGGCCAACUACGUGCCAGCCGCCGCCGUAA